Long non-coding RNA from Corapipo altera (White-ruffed manakin), 2117 nucleotides. RefSeq lists it as uncharacterized. The record is from RefSeq and is a predicted model, not a curated record. The transcript is spliced from 3 exons. NCBI's taxonomy places the organism in Eukaryota, Metazoa, Chordata, Aves, Passeriformes, Pipridae.
UAACAGUGUCACUACUGUCCUUACCCACAGCAGCAGGGUAGUCAGCCACAGUGAGAAGCUGACUGAGCAGCUUCUUGAGCAAUAACAAGCCUCCAGUGCUGCAGACAAACUACAGUGCUUCAGCUCACACCUAAAGGAACACACUCUUCAAGUUUUCAUGCAAAUGCUGCUUACUCUGAAGUCAACGACAGAAGAGCAAACUGAGCAGGACUGGAGUCUUCACAGGGAAAUUGCAGUUUCCCCAGCAAGGGCAUACUCUGAAAAGGAGGCUUAUUUUUCUUUAUGUCAUAAUGACAAGGGAAGAAAAAGUAAGGAAGAAAAGACUCUAAUUGCAGCCUUCCACCAAUGCAGUCGCCAUCUGGUAACUCAAGAGACACAUGGAGCUGAAUUAUCUUAAUUAACGUGUUACAAAAGUAUUUAAAAAACUCUAUGCUUAUUAACACUCAGCUGUGAUUAGCCAACCAUGGAGGAAGCCUCCUAGUGCAACAUUAAUUAUGGGUCUUGUCUGUCUAUUAGAAAUAUGAUUUUUUUUCCCCAGUAGUUUAUCUCUCUCCUAAAAUAAAAACCAUUAGCAUCAAAGCUUGCUCUAAAAUGCAAAUUAUAUUUACAUUUUACAAGAGUCAAAAUGUUUAGGCUAUAUGAAGCUGCCACUGGUGCUUCUACAGUGAUACAGAUUGUCUAGAUACAAAAUGUACUUCUCUAUGCCCCUUAGAAAGCCUUGCUUCAGUUAAGCAACUCCCACUCCCACUGAAAUUUUAGCAGAAAAAUAAAGUUUUAUACCUUUCUUUCCCCUUCCAAAACAGGACAGACUUUGCUGUAUGCUAGGCAGUUGAAAAACCAAGACACAAAUUCCAGGGCUAACAAAAACUGCAAGUGCGAAAGGAAGCUUUCUGCGACAGAAAGCAGCAACCCAAACACAACUGCACUCCAGCAGCAGAUCUGCCUCCCCAGAAGAAUGCUACUCACUAUGACAACUGUAUUAUUUUCCCUGCAACAGGCCCACCUGUAACGUGGUCCCCUCAGAUACAUUCCCAAAUGAUUCAGCCUGAAAGGCUCCGAGACUAACACUGCCAAGUUUUUCAGACUUGGCUCGGUGUUAUGUUUGUUACAGGGCUGGCUGCAGUGGGGCUCUCAUCCACACUAGGCAUCCUGAACAUCAGUAUAACACCAAAUUAUAAGACAAAAACCUGGUGCUUUUAAACAAAGCCAGGAUUGAUAAAUUAUUUUGGGAAACACUAACAAGGAGGAAGAAACAAAUCAGAACAACUGCAGAAAUAUUUUUAAGAUCUUCUGAUAAAGUAAUCUUAUAGCUGCACACACACACACACACAAAUAAAUUUAAAUUGUUGUUGAUGUAUGUGGAAGCUCACAAAGCUUGCUCAGGUCCAGUAAAGAUGAAGACCAAAUGACCAGUACUUUACAGCAUCCCAUAUUGCCAGGACAGCAUAAAUAAUUUGUAUCUGGGCUGCACCUGAGUCAGCAAUACAGUGGCCCCAGAAAAGCCAAUGUGAUACAGAAACCUGCUCUCACCUAUGGGCAUAGCACAGCUUUCCAAGUGGCCCACAUUUCAUUUGCUUUUGUUUUCCAAGGCUGCUUCCAGCCUCCCUGUGCCUUCUUCCAACUCCUCCGUAAUUACUUCCACAUGUUCCAAGAAGGAAAUAAGCAAGUGCUGUAAUAACACUUUGUGUAAUGAGCAGGGUUCCAGAUUCUGCUUUUGAAACCCAAAGCCCACUGUUGUAAGUAGCCUUGUGGAUUCCUCCCCCUUCAAAAGUUGGAUUAGGAGGGUCUCUCUAAGAUAGCUGCAUAUGGGUUUUUGUUUGAAAUUCUGAUCAUCAGGAAAUAUAAAGGGUGCAAAAGUGUUUGCCACAUGGGGCAAAGGCAGCUAACAAUCACUGGGGCCUCUCUUCCUCUCACUGACAGCUCUUUCAAUUCUAAAUCUUACUUUAUAUUGCAACAAGGAGGAGAAUAUUUAAAAAGAUUAAGAACUGUCAAAAUAAUUUGAUGGUCUUACAAAAAAGGAACAGAUAGCUGUGCAGGAACUUAGUUAUAUCACACAGCUUGAUUUGUCGUCUUGUCCUGAUCACUUGUUCCCAAAAUCCUACAAAAUUAAAAACUGG